UAUUAAAGAUUUGAUCUGAUGAGGAAAUCUUUUGGUAAGUAUGCUUAUUUCUUAGAAAUAAAACUCAAGUAUGAAGAUAUUUAAUAGUCAAGCAACGGGAUCAAUAUAAACCUACAAACACUGAGCAGUGGAGCCAGCGUUGAGAUGCCAUGGACAGUGACAGUCACCUCUGGCCCUCCCUGGUGGCUCCCUUGGUGUUAUUUUGAAUCUCUCUUCACUUUCUUUGAAAAUUAACAAUACAUCGUUGUUUGUGAGCAUUGCACUGAAACCCCAAGGCACACAUCACUCUCUCGAUCAUGGACAUCACCAGCAGUGACGCCACAGCUUGCAUCAUGGCUAUGCAGGAUAUAUAUAUAAAGAGAGAGAGCUGAUGGAAGAGAAAAAGAGGAUAAAGCAAAUGUGGCAAAAUGUUAACAAGCGAGG
Molecule: long non-coding RNA, 423 nt
Filed under: Equus caballus (horse)
Lineage: Eukaryota; Metazoa; Chordata; Mammalia; Perissodactyla; Equidae
Description: lncRNA (ENSECAG00000057163.1)
Source: RNAcentral